RNAcentral lists this transfer RNA (82 nucleotides) under Bacteriovoracaceae bacterium. Its description in RNAcentral is "tRNA-Leu". It matches the Rfam family "tRNA". Rfam says of the family: Transfer RNA (tRNA) molecules are approximately 80 nucleotides in length. Their secondary structure includes four short double-helical elements and three loops (D, anti-codon, and T loops). Further hydrogen bonds mediate the characteristic L-shaped molecular structure. tRNAs have two regions of fundamental functional importance: the anti-codon, which is responsible for specific mRNA codon recognition, and the 3' end, to which the tRNAs corresponding amino acid is attached (by aminoacyl-tRNA synthetases). tRNAs cope with the degeneracy of the genetic code in two manners: having more than one tRNA (with a specific anti-codon) for a particular amino acid; and 'wobble' base-pairing, i.e. permitting non-standard base-pairing at the 3rd anti-codon position. The record is from RNAcentral. Lineage: Bacteria; Pseudomonadati; Bdellovibrionota; Bacteriovoracia; Bacteriovoracales; Bacteriovoracaceae.
GCCCAGGUGGUGAAAUGGCAGACACGCUAGGCUUAGAACCUAGUGCGCAAGCGUGGAGGUUCGAGUCCUCUCCUGGGCACCA